GUCGAUAUCGGAUGGUUCGAGUUUUUCAGCAGAUAGAGUUUGAUCAUGGCUCAGGACGAACGCUGGCGGCGUGCCUAAUACAUGCAAGUCGAACGCUUCUUUUUCCACCGGAGCUUGCUCCACCGGAAAAAGAGGAGUGGCGAACGGGUGAGUAACACGUGGGUAACCUGCCCAUCAGAAGGGGAUAACACUUGGAAACAGGUGCUAAUACCGUAUAACAAUCGAAACCGCAUGGUUUUGAUUUGAAAGGCGCUUUCGGGUGUCGCUGAUGGAUGGACCCGCGGUGCAUUAGCUAGUUGGUGAGGUAACGGCUCACCAAGGCCACGAUGCAUAGCCGACCUGAGAGGGUGAUCGGCCACAUUGGGACUGAGACACGGCCCAAACUCCUACGGGAGGCAGCAGUAGGGAAUCUUCGGCAAUGGACGAAAGUCUGACCGAGCAACGCCGCGUGAGUGAAGAAGGUUUUCGGAUCGUAAAACUCUGUUGUUAGAGAAGAACAAGGAUGAGAGUAACUGUUCAUCCCUUGACGGUAUCUAACCAGAAAGCCACGGCUAACUACGUGCCAGCAGCCGCGGUAAUACGUAGGUGGCAAGCGUUGUCCGGAUUUAUUGGGCGUAAAGCGAGCGCAGGCGGUUUCUUAAGUCUGAUGUGAAAGCCCCCGGCUCAACCGGGGAGGGUCAUUGGAAACUGGGAGACUUGAGUGCAGAAGAGGAGAGUGGAAUUCCAUGUGUAGCGGUGAAAUGCGUAGAUAUAUGGAGGAACACCAGUGGCGAAGGCGGCUCUCUGGUCUGUAACUGACGCUGAGGCUCGAAAGCGUGGGGAGCAAACAGGAUUAGAUACCCUGGUAGUCCACGCCGUAAACGAUGAGUGCUAAGUGUUGGAGGGUUUCCGCCCUUCAGUGCUGCAGCUAACGCAUUAAGCACUCCGCCUGGGGAGUACGACCGCAAGGUUGAAACUCAAAGGAAUUGACGGGGGCCCGCACAAGCGGUGGAGCAUGUGGUUUAAUUCGAAGCAACGCGAAGAACCUUACCAGGUCUUGACAUCCUUUGACCACUCUAGAGAUAGAGCUUCCCCUUCGGGGGCAAAGUGACAGGUGGUGCAUGGUUGUCGUCAGCUCGUGUCGUGAGAUGUUGGGUUAAGUCCCGCAACGAGCGCAACCCUUAUUGUUAGUUGCCAUCAUUCAGUUGGGCACUCUAGCAAGACUGCCGGUGACAAACCGGAGGAAGGUGGGGAUGACGUCAAAUCAUCAUGCCCCUUAUGACCUGGGCUACACACGUGCUACAAUGGGAAGUACAACGAGUCGCGAAGUCGCGAGGCUAAGCUAAUCUCUUAAAGCUUCUCUCAGUUCGGAUUGCAGGCUGCAACUCGCCUGCAUGAAGCCGGAAUCGCUAGUAAUCGCGGAUCAGCACGCCGCGGUGAAUACGUUCCCGGGCCUUGUACACACCGCCCGUCACACCACGAGAGUUUGUAACACCCGAAGUCGGUGAGGUAACCUUUUUGGAGCCAGCCGCCUAAGGUGGGAUAGAUGAUUGGGGUGAAGUCGUAACAAGGUAACCGUAUCUCUCUAGCAGUCUCUACAUAAAGG
This 1585-nucleotide ribosomal RNA is filed under the name Enterococcus faecium. Its description in RNAcentral is "bacterial SSU rRNA". It matches the Rfam family "Bacterial small subunit ribosomal RNA". The record is from RNAcentral. Lineage: Bacteria; Bacillati; Bacillota; Bacilli; Lactobacillales; Enterococcaceae.